Paramormyrops kingsleyae is the source of this 1963-nucleotide non-coding RNA. Lineage: Eukaryota; Metazoa; Chordata; Actinopteri; Osteoglossiformes; Mormyridae. The record is from RefSeq and is a predicted model, not a curated record.
AAGGUAGCUAACUGACUGGAUGCCCAUUAACUUUAUAACCUCUGGUGUGUGUGUGUGUGUGUGUGUGUGUGUAUUUUGCACAGAAAGACAGCCAGGUUCAUAAUGGAUAUAAGGAAGUUUUUUCAAAAAAAGGACGGGCAUUCAGGUAAAAGUAGAAGAUCAUGAUCUGUCAAUCAAGAAUAAUGUUGGAUCAGUGUUUAAAUAGUCAUAUAUUUUAUUAAAUGUACACGUGGUUUGGUUAUUUGCCUUUUGAUUGAAAGUACACUGAGAGAAGAGUUUUUUUUUAUUAGUGAUGUUAAUAGUAUUUUUUUUAUAUUAAUUAGUGGUGGGCAUAGAUUAAUUUUUUAAUCUAGAUUAAUCUCACUGUAACCUGGCUGUGAUGUCAGUUGAGAAAGAGAUGCUUGAGAGAGUUGACCACCAAAAAGUGAUAGACAGAUUUGCCAGCCACAAGGUGAGGCGACAUAGGUUAAAAUAAAAAAACAAAUCUGCAGAGUCAUAGUAGUAUCUGCAGUAAAGAUCUUUUCAUACAUUGCAUACAUUGUACCAUAGGCACAGUUGCCGCCAUCUUUAUAAUUUUUUUUAUUAAUAUUUUGUACAUUUGUGUAUUUCACAGACUGUUCUAUUUUUUGAGGGUAUUUUUUAUGUAUCUGUAUUAUAUUAUACAUACACAUUAAAAGUGAAUCCCUGUCCAAAAAAUGCACUCCGUUUACUUUUUACUCACUAUUAGCAUCAUUCAUUACUCUCCUCCAGUAAUUAAGAUUAGGAUAUGUAUUUUUUUUAUUCCAAUCCAUUCUUCUUUUGCAGUAGUGGUCUUUUGCAGCAUUUAAAAAAAACCUUUAUCAAAUUUGAUUCCAAAAAGUGUUUUGCUUUUCUUACACAAAUGUUGGAAUUAAAAUGUUAAAAUGUACAAAACAGUCAUGUCAUGUUUUUUGACAAGGACCCAGGCACAGAGAAACUCUUAGGAUUUAAUAAAGAAAUUUGCAGACUUGCACAGAGAUGGUAAAAUGAUGACUGAUGACGGAGACGAAGACAACAGACGAAAAGGACAGGGAGGAACAGGGGUUUAAAUGCACAAAGGAGACAGUCAGAUAGAACUCGGGACAACUGGAGACAUUUAAGGAUGCGGGGACUGAAAGAGGCAGGGAAAAAGUCUCAUUGUGACGAGUAAAGUGUAUCUUGCCUUGCUGGGCAGCUCUCUGGGUGCUCAGCACCCCCAAAGCUCUGAACCUAGAAUCGCCCCUGAUUUCCAGCAAGGCCUGCUUCGGAUGCAUCUCACAAACUUUUGGUUUAUUUCCUUCAAGUACACCCACUGUUUUUCCUAGGUUUAUGAUAAGGCUAUGUGUUGCAUUGUUUGCUCUUCCGUACCUGUGAAACAUUGUUUUGCUGAAAGGUUUUGAUAGCGGGUGUACAGUAAUAUCUGCCCGUUGCGGCUGUUGGGGGGAGGGGUGAUCUUAUCCUCAGUUUGCAUGGUGGCCACCGGUAUUUUGCAUGUCGAGCUAAUUGCGUUACGGUAAUAUUUUAGGAUCAUGAGUGUGUCUCCGUGUGAUAUUGCAUGCGUGUGGUUUUUGUGUUGAUAAUGGGGGGUUUGGGGCUGGAUUAACCCAGGUUUGAAGUUGGAGUGGAGUACGUGGCAACGCCGAGGAUUGGGUUACCACUCUGGACAUUGCAGGGGAAAAAGUGAAAUGGAGAAAAAAAUACAUAGAUGGGCUAAGUAAGCAGUAGGAGCAAGGAGCAGAAGACAAAAUAGGAAAGAAGGGAGAAGAAAACAAAGAUAGAGGCGAGAAGACAGAUGAGGAGAGAAAAGAAGUGGAAAGCAACAAAUUUAAAGGAGGAAGAGGCUAUGAAUACGUUACUUAUAGCCCACCAAAGGCUUUUCAACCCCAAGGAGGCAAGCGGCCUGUAAAAAAAAAAAAGUUUUUUUCGUUGUAAUUCAUUUAUUCAUAAUAAACAAUAUUUUAUCAUA